UACGGGGGGGGCAAGCGUUGCUCGGAAUUACUGGGCGUAAAGGGCUCGUAGGCGGCCAACUAAGUCCGACGUGAAAUCCCCAGGCUUAACCUGGGAACUGCGUCGGAUACUGGAUGGCUUGAAUUCGGGAGAGGGAUGCAGAAUUCCAGGUGUAGCGGUGAAAUGCGUAGAUAUCUGGAGGAAUACCGGUGGCGAAGGCGGCAUCCUGGACCGACAUUGACGCUGAUGAGCGAAAGCUAGGGGAGCAAACGGG
This 253-nucleotide ribosomal RNA is filed under the name uncultured bacterium. RNAcentral describes it as "partial 16S ribosomal RNA". It matches the Rfam family "Bacterial small subunit ribosomal RNA", at positions 524 to 776 of the family's 1533-position model. The record is from RNAcentral.